GAUGAACGCUGGCGGCGUGCCUAAUACAUGCAAGUCGAGCGAACAGACGAGGAGCUUGCUCCUUUGACGUUAGCGGCGGACGGGUGAGUAACACGUAGGUAACCUACCUAUAAGACUGGGAUAACUUCGGGAAACCGGAGCUAAUACCGGAUAAUAUUUCGAACCGCAUGGUUCGAUAGUGAAAGAUGGCUUUGCUAUCACUUAUAGAUGGACCUGCGCCGUAUUAGCUAGUUGGUAAGGUAACGGCUUACCAAGGCAACGAUACGUAGCCGACCUGAGAGGGUGAUCGGCCACACUGGAACUGAGACACGGUCCAGACUCCUACGGGAGGCAGCAGUAGGGAAUCUUCCGCAAUGGGCGAAAGCCUGACGGAGCAACGCCGCGUGAGUGAUGAAGGUCUUCGGAUCGUAAAACUCUGUUAUUAGGGAAGAACAAACGUGUAAGUAACUGUGCACGUCUUGACGGUACCUAAUGAGAAAGCCACGGCUAACUACGUG
Molecule: ribosomal RNA, 497 nt
Filed under: uncultured bacterium
Lineage: Bacteria
Description: partial 16S ribosomal RNA
Rfam family: Bacterial small subunit ribosomal RNA
Source: RNAcentral